CCUACGGGUGGCAGCAGUGAGGAAUAUUGGUCAAUGGGCGCGAGCCUGAACCAGCCCAGUAGCGUGAAGGAUGACUGCCCUACGGGUUGUAAACUUCUUUUAUAAAGGAAUAAAGUGAGGCACGUGUGCCUUUUUGUAUGUACUUUAUGAAUAAGGAUCGGCUAACUCCGUGCCAGCAGCCGCGGUAAUACGGCAGCUCCGAUCGUUAUCCGGAUUUAUUGGGUUUAAAGGGAGCGUAGAUGGGAUGUUAAGUCAGUUGUGAAAGUUUGCGGCUCAACCGUGAAAUUGCAAUUGAUACUGGCAGGCUUGAGUACAGUUGAGGUAGGCGGAAUUCGUGGUGUAGCGGUGAAAUGCUUAGAUAUCACGAAGAACUCCGAUUGCGAAGGCAGCUUACUAAACUGCCACUGACAUUGAUGCUCGAAAGUGUGGGUAUCAAACAGGAUUAGAUACCCUAGUAGUC
RNAcentral lists this ribosomal RNA (460 nucleotides) under uncultured bacterium. RNAcentral describes it as "partial 16S ribosomal RNA". It matches the Rfam family "Bacterial small subunit ribosomal RNA", at positions 338 to 795 of the family's 1533-position model. The record is from RNAcentral.